AUUAUAUAGCGAAUCUUCACGUCAUGAUCCUGCGACCGAAUAUGUCAUUGGCAUCUGACGGGCUGAAAUGAGCUUCCUAGUGAUCGAGUAUGUCAUUGAUCAAACUGGGCUUCAGGGGCUCCGUCUUGCGAUCGAGUGAGAUGCAGUGAACUCGAGAUUGAAUGGUCCAGCGACCCUGUGAUCGAGUGCAAUCGAGUGGAUGUCAUGAGAUGGUGAUCGAGUGGUUUCUUCGGCUUCUCAUCUCUUCUUUGUUCUCAGCUUGUCUGGUUGAGUGCAGAAUGAGCAGAUAGGCUUCCUGGUGAUCGAGUGGUGAUCGAGUGGUUCCGAUGGGGUGAUUCCUCCGGCUUCGCGAUUGAGUGAAACUGAGCUGCUUGCUUCUCUGGGGUUGCGAUAGAGUGAUUUGCCCUGGCAGGGCUCCGAGGCUGCGAUAGAGUACUUUUGCUGAAGGCGUCAUUGGGCAUUCUGACUUCAUGUUCUGUUUUUCCUCUGUUUGAACUCCAAAAGUAUCCAAAGUACCUGAAAACAACCAACUAUGCCAUGCACAUGCAAUCCUAAUGCAAAAUCGUCCUAAGUAUGUAAAACACACUAAAACGACUCCUAAUGAGAUGAAAUAUGGAUGAAACAAUGACAAAGUGGUGAAGAAUGAAUGCCUAAAUCAUGCAAAUUAUAGACAUAUCAACUCUCCCAAACUUAUUCUUUGCUUGCCCUCAAGCAAACAAGAAGACAUAAGCAGAAGGAGAGGUUUGAAGUUGGGGAUUCAGAACUAAAGCAUGAGAUAUGACAAUUAAGAUCAAUGUACCAGCUAACAGUUCUAAGAUGUGAGGUGAUCGACUUCUACUUAAAAACUUUAGCCAUGCUCUGUUAUGAUCCAAACCUACACUCAAAUGCACAAUGCGUCAAGAUCAACCAAUCCCUUUAACAUUCAUUAAGUUCAAAAACAUGAAUCAAGAUAUGCAUCGCUAGUGAACUCAUUUGGCUAAUGACAGGUUAUGAGACAAAGAUGGUCCCUUUUUAGUGGUUCAGAUUUUAAUAGCAGGGGACUCUCAAUGAAAAAGGACUGAGCUUUAGAAGAAUGCUAAAGGUAAGUUCCAACCUAUGCAUACAAGAAUAGCACCCCAUCUACCCAAUGACAUAAACCGUGAAUAACAAGUAGAUGGUCCUAUCUCUAAACCCAAUGAUGAUCCUAAGUCUACCCUUUUGCACUAAAGGCAUAUUUCGAUUUUUUCUUGGAUCAAUGUUUCCUUUUCUUUUCUUUGGCUCUUGUUCUUAAGGAGAAGCUUUUCUUAAACUCUCUGAGUCUAGUCUAGUGAAUUGGGUUUUUCUUAAACUCUUAUGGCUCUUAUCAUUUUUAUUUUUUUUCUGUUUUUGUUGCCAUCUAUUUUUGUUUAGAGCAUAUCUUAACAAUUCUAUGCUUCCCAAACAUUCACUAGACCACAAUAUGAUUUUCAGCUUCCUUCUCCUAAAGACUCUAACCCAUUUUUUUUUAUUUCUUUUUCUUUUCACACUCAAUCUCAAUCCCCAAAUAAGUUCCCACCUAGUCCUACCAAGUCCGAAAACGCGGAUUAGAACUACAUGAGAUACUACUCUUGUCGGCUCAAACCUAACACGUUCUACCAAGCUCAAUCCAGAAAAUAGGCCUCACAUGCUCGCACAAAAUAACAUGGCUUGAAAGAAGGGUUGGUUAAGGGUGGGGGAACUACUCCAAUAAUAGAAGCAGCUACUUGGAUUAGCAAGAGUGGUGAAUAAGUGAAAGAAAAUCCAAAUAUGUAUUCAAAUAUGGUGCGGUUUCUGUCAUGACAUGCAUCGAGUGAUUUCUAUAGAACAUGGUGCGGUUUUACUUCAAAGUCAUUCAAAUACCUCAAAGAACUAAUAACUCAUUUUAGUGAAUCAUCAUGCUUACAAGGCUAUUUCCUCAUUAUCCCCUAUGCAUAUGCAACAAUCCUAUAUGAAACACUCUAGACUCGAUUCUAAAUGUAAUGCAACUAAAUGAUCACUCUAUUUUUGUGGAAUUCAUUUUCAAAAAAUUUCAAUUCUUUUUGUUU
RNAcentral lists this small RNA (2042 nucleotides) under Arabidopsis thaliana (thale cress). Its description in RNAcentral is "ATSL092240". Lineage: Eukaryota; Viridiplantae; Streptophyta; Magnoliopsida; Brassicales; Brassicaceae. The record is from RNAcentral.